This 926-nucleotide ribosomal RNA is filed under the name uncultured bacterium. RNAcentral describes it as "bacterial SSU rRNA". It matches the Rfam family "Bacterial small subunit ribosomal RNA", at positions 1 to 917 of the family's 1533-position model. RNAcentral also lists the same sequence under 1 other name. The record is from RNAcentral.
UGGAUCCAGACUUUGAUUCUGGCUCAGGAUGAACGCUAGCUACAGGCUUAACACAUGCAAGUCGAGGGGAAACGACAUCGAAAGCUUGCUUUUGAUGGGCGUCGACCGGCGCACGGGUGAGUAACGCGUAUCCAACCUGCCCACCACUUGGGGAUAACCUUGCGAAAGUAAGACUAAUACCCAAUGGCGUCUCUAGAAGACAUCUGAAAGAGAUUAAAGAUUUAUCGGUGAUGGAUGGGGAUGCGUCUGAUUAGCUUGUUGGCGGGGUAACGGCCCACCAAGGCUACGAUCAGUAGGGGUUCUGAGAGGAAGGUCCCCCACAUUGGAACUGAGACACGGUCCAAACUCCUACGGGAGGCAGCAGUGAGGAAUAUUGGUCAAUGGACGAGAGUCUGAACCAGCCAAGUAGCGUGCAGGAUGACGGCCCUAUGGGUUGUAAACUGCUUUUAUAAGGGAAUAAAGUGAGUCUCGUGAGACUUUUUGCAUGUACCUUAUGAAUAAGGACCGGCUAAUUCCGUGCCAGCAGCCGCGGUAAUACGGAAGGUCCGGGCGUUAUCCGGAUUUAUUGGGUUUAAAGGGAGCGUAGGCCGGAGAUUAAGCGUGUUGUGAAAUGUAGAUGCUCAACAUCUGCACUGCAGCGCGAACUGGUUUCCUUGAGUACGCACAAAGUGGGCGGAAUUCGUGGUGUAGCGGUGAAAUGCUUAGAUAUCACGAAGAACUCCGACUGCGAAGGCAGCUCACUGGAGCGCAACUGACGCUGAAGCUCGAAAGUGCGGGUAUCGAACAGGAUUAGAUACCCUGGUAGUCCGCACGGUAAACGAUGGAUGCCCGCUGUUGGUCUGAAUAGGUCAGCGGCCAAGCGAAAGCAUUAAGCAUCCCACCUGGGGAGUACGCCGGCAACGGUGCAACUCAAAGGAAUUGACGGA